Molecule: ribosomal RNA, 440 nt
Filed under: uncultured bacterium
Lineage: Bacteria
Description: partial 16S ribosomal RNA
Rfam family: Bacterial small subunit ribosomal RNA
Source: RNAcentral
CCUACGGGUGGCAGCAGUGGGGAAUAUUGCACAAUGGGGGAAACCCUGAUGCAGCGACGCCGCGUGAGUGAAGAAGUAUCUCGGUACGUAAAGCUCUAUCAGCAGGGAAGAAAAUGACGGUACCUGACUAAGAAGCCCCGGCUAACUACGUGCCAGAGGCCGCGGUAAUACGUAGGGGGCGAGCGUUAUCCGGAUUUACUGGGUGUAAAGGGAGCGUAGACGGCAGCACAAGUCUGGAGUGAAAUCCCGGGGCUUAACCCCGGAACUGCUUUGGAAACUGGGCGGCUGGAGUGCAGGAGGGGGAAGCGGAAUUCCUGGUGUAGCGGUGAAAUGCGUAGAUAUUAGGAGGAACACCGGUGGCGAAGGCGGCUUACUGGACUGUAACUGACGUUGAGGCUCGAAAGCGUGGGGAGCAAACAGGAUUAGAUACCCGUGUAGUC